Long non-coding RNA from Nicotiana tabacum (common tobacco), 1578 nucleotides. RefSeq lists it as uncharacterized. NCBI's taxonomy places the organism in Eukaryota, Viridiplantae, Streptophyta, Magnoliopsida, Solanales, Solanaceae. The record is from RefSeq and is a predicted model, not a curated record.
UCAAGGAAAAGAACUAAGAGACGGAGAGGAUAAAAAGAAAAACUAAAAUUAAAGUCCUAAUCAAGAUACAAAGUACCAAAAGCCCUAAUCAAGAUAGUUGAGCCACGAACAAAGAUCCGAGAAAUUCCAACAGAUGGCAGUCAGUCUGUUGAUGCAUUUUCAUCUGUCGUGGGUCCUGAACAUCCGGGAUGUUUAAGAUUAUAUGGACGAGGAGUUACAAAGACUACUUUAAAAGGAAAAGUGGGCCAUUUCGAACCGACUUCAAAUGCUACAAAUGAUACAGUGCAAGAAAGGAUUCGAAAAAUGAAGGAACAAAAAAGAACUAUGCGACAAGAAAUUACUGCAGAUGUAAUUGCUCAACUUCAGCGUGCAGGAUUAAUUAAUCCAAACAUACUAGCAACAUUAUCUGUUUUGUCAUUAGGAGAAGCUACCUCUGCACCACAAGCUGCUAAUCAACUGAUCUGUCGACCAUCUACACGUAGCAACAAUCAAGGUUAGUAUCACUUUAUUCCCAGGCUAAAAUUCAUAUUUUAGAAACUGUAAAGCUGUGAUUUUUUGUUUGAAAAUCUACAGUAAAGCUAUUAUUUUUUAAAGUUAAAAACUGUUGAUUUUUGUGAUAAAAUUUGCUCUUUUUCUGCCUUUCUUCCUUUCAUGAAAACCUGCUGAUAUGAGGCAUUAUAGAAUCAUUAAUAUUUCUGUAGAUAAUGUUUAGUAUAAACUUUAUUAGUAUAUUUUAAUGAUAUCAUCUUGUGCGGCUGAGUUCAUAUUGCUAGAGGUUCAAGUUCAUAUUGAAACAUGGGGUUCUCUUGGAACUCCAAAUAAGGGAACCCUAAAACAUGUCAAAGGUUUAGUCGUGAUAAACUACCUAGAGCAACCACACUUCACUGCAAUGAGCUAUCUGGUCCUUCCAAAGUACUAGUUAAUCAUCAUAAUAAUAAAAAAGUCCACAAAGAAGUCCAGGAAUGGAAGUUGCUAUUAUUAAUAAAUUCCUUUAUCAAAAAUAAAGUACAAGAACGGAAUGCUAAUCACUGUUAGUGUGACUGAUAAAAGAACCUCUGUUAGUGUGACUGAUUAAAAAAUCCACUGAUGUAAGAUGUCAUUUCAAUUUUAUCUUGAUCCAAGGUGUACUUGUAAUUUAUUACAACAGAGAGAGUCAUGAGAAUGAAUUAUAGUUUUAUCAAUCAGCAAUCUACUAUGAAGAGAGUUGCGCAAAAAUGUUUCUGAGUAGAGUGAUACCGAGGUUACUCCAUUAUUUGCCUUUGUAGCAUAAUGAAGAAUUUUGUUUUCUUUUAUCUCAUAGAAAAUGAUUGCCUGCAAAGCUGUUGUAACUUCUGGUAUAGUAACCUCUAGUUUCUACUUUCUACAUUUGAAGAUUGGAUUACGUUUGGUCUUUAAGAAGGUCUUGACUUUAAUUAUUAAAUUGAAUCGGUCUUUAUGAAGGUCUUGACAUUUGGAGAUUGAAUACGUUUGGUCUUCAAUUAUCAUUCUCUAGUAUGUCAAAAAUAGGAUCUAUUGUUUCUGUUGGUGUUUCCAUUGCUUCACAUUUGAUAAAGACAAUUGAACUUUUUUUAGAAAGAA